GAUUGUUGUGGCCACCGCAGUGCUGCUUUUCAGAUCCUGGGGUUGGAUUGUGCCUCCUUGAAGAUGCAAGAUCCUGUCAUCUGUGAAUGAAGAUGAUUGUACUUCCUUUCCAAUGUAGAUGAUUUUUAUUUAUUUCUGUUGCCAAAUUGUCCCGGCUAGCACAUCUAGUACAGGAAUAUGUAGAUGUGGUGAGAAUGGAUAUACUGACCUUGUCGUUGAUCCCAGAAAAUCUGAUCACUGUUUAUAGGUACCAGUUAUUGUUGGCUACAUCUGCUUGAUACAAAUAGAGGAGUUAAGCUGCAAGGGACUCUAAGUUUUAUUGCUUCUGUAAGAAAUCAUUGCAAACAUAAUGGCUUUAAACAGCCGAAAUUUAUUCUUCCACAAUCCUGAAGGACAGAAGUACGAAAUCAGUAUCGUUGGAUUAAUAUCAAACAGAGAUGGGGAGAUGACAGCAGUGUGAAACACCUUCAAAAUUUUAGGUGGAGGGCUUUUGGAGACCACCGAACCGACAGAGCUAGGUGAAGAGAGAGGGCUGAGUCUAGAUGGAGAGCAGGAGACAGAGCCCAGCCCACUUGGAGCACCUCGCCUGCGACUUUGACUGAGCGCACAAAACAUUUUCCAGCCCCGUAGAACCGUGUAGUGUCCCGCUUAUUGCUCUCUUCAUCUUUUGCAAGCAUCACGAUCUUCCCCCCACCCGCUCCCACCCCCACACUGCAUGUGGGGUGCUGUGUUUAUGCAAGCACCGUGGAGUAUAUGCAUAUAUGAAGAUUGCUAUUUCUCAUGCUCACUUUUUCUCUGCAUUCCUCAUUCCUCUUAAGAACUCUGCCUUCAAAUUCUUGUGGCCUCAUUUCUCUGAACACCCACCAUGGUCAUUUCAACUCAGCACAUCUCCAUGCUUCUGUGUGGUGUGGACAGCUGGAGCACACUGUGACCCACCAGACUUACCUUUCUUGUUUUCCAUUUAAAUAUAAUCUUUUCUCAGUGGUUGAAGAGAAGACGACAUACUUCUCACUCGCCUUUACAUUCAUGUCAACAAGGGGUGUGUGUUUCUGCUCAGAGUGAUUCAUGAACCGAGGCUGUUUCUGGUUCUGCGCUCUUAGAGUUACUUCAUCUCGAGCACAUUUCAGGUUGCACACUGGUUCUUCCAUGCUUUAUUGGAUGUUAUUCACAGGCGAUAACUUGUCUUCUGAUGCUGCAUAACUGUAAGGGAGCAUAGAAACAUGGGGAUGGGAUGGAACAUUUAUCUCCAUGGCUUCAACACACUGAGCAUGGUCCCUGCCCAUGACAGGAGAUGUCUGCUCUCCCAAGUCAAGUCAGAAGGAAAUUUGUCAGCACCUAAAUUGGUAGAAAAGUAAUUCCCCAAGAAAGAUAAAGCUGGACAUUAUUCCCAUUGGUUAGGACAGAUCUUCAUUAGUAAUAAACUAUUGUAGUAGGAAAAAUAGUAAGGAAAAGUCAACUUCAAUUUGUACCAAAGUGACUAUACAUUUUAAAGUGAAUAGUAGAAAUGACGGGGCAGCCAGGGGAUCAGUCCCAUUUGAGCUGUGAAUAAGUGCAAAAGCAGGAAGGGGGUUGGCUCAUGAAAAAUGCAUCUGAAAUUCUAACCCCUGGUUUAUCACCAUUUUUUUCUUAUCUUGUUGGGGAACGCUUUACUCUGUCUGUUCUCAGGUGAUCUUCAAGACUUACUCCCUCCACCAGCCUGUGAGCCAUUUAUUGAUGAAGAGUAUGACGAAUUCAUUGUGGGAAUGAAGCAGAUUGGAGGGUCCAGAAACCAACAUUGAGAAGAAAGAGACAGUAAAGGGGUAACAAUUCACCUGCAAUGCAUUCUGAUUACGGCCUGCAGGUCCUGGUGUCAGAAUGCCUCACUCAAACUGCAUCAGAAAAGACAAAUCAGAGAGGGAGAAAGCGUUUAGUUCUUAAGAGGAGAGGCAUUAAGUGUUAGAAUGAAGGUGAAGAAAGAAAGAGUUCUGAGAAGGAGAGAACGGAGAGCUCCUGAUAAGGGUGAAUCAAGCACUUCUGUGGCACAUCUGAGUAACCUAAGGUGCCCUGCACUGUUAGGCACCUGAAGCUCCUUUCUUUCACCCUAUUGAAAACAUUUACUCAUGGUGACCCCACUUCACAUAUUCUAUAUGAAUAAUGCAUACUGGUGCAUUUGGGUUAAGAUAUUUAUUUUAGGCCUGUGGCCAAGGAGUCUCUCUCUCUCUCUCUCUCUCUCUCUCUCUCUCUCUCACACACACACACACACACAAACACACACACACACAUACACGCAUGCGCGUGCACGCACACACGCAUGCAAGCACAGUAGGAAAUAAGACCUUUCUUUUUACAUGCAGAUUUCUAUGAUGACCACAUUACAAGGAAGUGGUAACUUGGUGAACACAUUUCAAUGGCAAAAAAAGUGACUUAGAAUAAUUUGUGGCUUUCAUGUAUUUUUGAAAUUCAGCCCAUGGUAAGAAGUACAUUUCAUAUUACAACCCACUACACAAUUGUACAGCCUUGAACAACUGAAGCACAUUAUCACACAUGAAAAACUGAAAUUUACAGAGUGUGAUACUGUCUGAUAUAUUAUUUUUCAUUAC
Molecule: long non-coding RNA, 2579 nt
Organism: Cynocephalus volans (Philippine flying lemur)
Lineage: Eukaryota; Metazoa; Chordata; Mammalia; Dermoptera; Cynocephalidae
Exons: 3
Source: RefSeq, a predicted model, not a curated record